UGUCCCAUUGUGAUGGGAUUUUCUUUCACAUCGCUAGAAAUAUCCAUCGACAGUAUUCACACGAACGGCAUUCCGCAGAAUACUCCAGCGGAAUAUUCAUAAAACGUCAUAGUUUUCUGAUGCCACGUGAGCGUGGGUGCUCAACGUCACGUCUUUUCGUGCUCUCUCAACUGCAGAGAAUGUCCUACGGCUCAGCCACAAGGUAUUCCGUGGCAGACGACAACUCAAUUGCAGACGACAGCGACGAUGGUGUCGCCUGCUAUGCUCCCGCCGCUAUGCGAAUGCUCAACAUGACACGGGGCGGAACUCAGAACGACAGCUGUGAAGGGCUCAAGUUCGUGAAGAUUGUGUCCCGUACGUCGCAUCGCCGAAACCAUUCUCCCCCUUGCAGCGAGAUAAAGCGAAGGAACUGGAAGAAGGGGCACGAUGCAGAUUGGUCAUUUCGGAGAGUCACGUUGGCUGUGACGUUGACGUCACGUGCCUCAGAGAAAAGGUGGCAGCGGUUGCAGCGGCGGCCGCUUGACAUGUCAGGGCGCGUACCGGCUUCUCGCCGCCGGCAGCAACAGAGGUUGCACGCAUCGGAACUUGACUGAGGGACACAGGAGAAGAAUUACGAGACAACGGGCGA
Ornithodoros turicata is the source of this 628-nucleotide long non-coding RNA. RefSeq lists it as uncharacterized. The transcript is spliced from 3 exons. NCBI's taxonomy places the organism in Eukaryota, Metazoa, Arthropoda, Arachnida, Ixodida, Argasidae. The record is from RefSeq and is a predicted model, not a curated record.